CUAUCAAACAGCUUAUGUAUGGAAAGCAGAUCGAUAGAAGUAGAGGCAGAUUGACUAAGAGAAUAAGAACAGUACAUAGUGUCCAGGUCCCUACCCUGGCGACUCCCUUGAUCCAGAUCCCGCAGCAAAUCUAAGGCGGAGAACGCCGUCAAGCAUCACCUAAGACCAAAUGAUCUGUGGGACACAGAUCUUGUAGUGGGUAGGAGUUUAAGCAGGCACCCCCUUUCCGCUACCCCACUUCAGCCCUAUUGCCCGCAGAAGUUCAAGUGCCUACAACAAUGUAGCCGAUACACCAUAACACCAGCAGCAACAGCGAAGAGCUGGAAUAUCAUCCAUCGUUGGUUCGACACCAACAACAGAGCAGCGGUAGCAGUGUGCCGACAGAAAUGCGCCGCCCGCCCAUAGCAUGCCCAUUUCAGCAAUAACAUGACGCCUCUCUGGAACAAAUGAAAACUGCAGCGCCAGCAACUUGAACUGAGCAACAAUGUUGGGCUGAAAUUUUUUACGCUGCUGCUCUGCCAGCAUCGAAAAUAUGCUGAUGGAUAUGGCGAAACGCAGAUCGGCCACACUUUUAAAACUGCUCUGAUAUUUUAUUCAUUUUUGAAAAUUUCUAUUGAUAUGCCAAAAAACUUUUUGCCACGCCAACACGAACCGGCGUUCGCCGCUCAAAAAUGCCACGCUCACACUUUUAAAAAUGUUUUGUUAUUUUUUCAUAUGUAUGUUAGUCUUGUUAAUUUCUAUCGAUUAAACAAAAAUCUGUCACACGUUUGAAAAA
Molecule: long non-coding RNA, 775 nt
Organism: Drosophila mauritiana
Lineage: Eukaryota; Metazoa; Arthropoda; Insecta; Diptera; Drosophilidae
Exons: 2
Source: RefSeq, a predicted model, not a curated record